This 398-nucleotide unclassified non-coding RNA is filed under the name uncultured fungus. RNAcentral describes it as "partial contains small subunit ribosomal RNA, internal transcribed spacer 1, and 5.8S ribosomal RNA". The stretch from base 1 to 73 matches the Rfam family "Eukaryotic small subunit ribosomal RNA", at positions 1759 to 1831 of the family's 1831-position model. Lineage: Eukaryota; Fungi. The record is from RNAcentral.
ACAAACUUGGUCAUUUAGAGGAAGUAAAAGUCGUAACAAGGUUUCCGUAGGUGAACCUGCGGAAGGAUCAUUAUUAAAUAAAGUCUGGGACGCCAGCAUGCCAGCAAUGGUGGUUGGUGGUUAACCCAGUACAUAGCUUUUUGCGCCCGACCCAGUGUGCCUGAUAAAGGAUGCUUGGGAACGGUGUCAAAUUGUGACUACCCUUUGUGAAACUUCUAUAUUUGCUUCGGCAGCACUCACAGCGGGCAACCGUUGGCGGGGUCAGGCUGCCAGAAGACACCCUUUUAAAACCAGAUGAAAUGUCAUGCAGUCUGAUAACUAUAUAUUUUGAGAAAUCAAAUUAUGUUAAAACUUUCAGCAACGGAUCUCUUGGUUCUCGCAUCGAUGAAGAACGCAGC